This 616-nucleotide ribosomal RNA is filed under the name Saccharomycetaceae sp. WG56A-1. RNAcentral describes it as "LSU rRNA". It matches the Rfam family "Eukaryotic large subunit ribosomal RNA", at positions 1 to 633 of the family's 3401-position model. The record is from RNAcentral. Lineage: Eukaryota; Fungi; Ascomycota; Saccharomycetes; Saccharomycetales; Saccharomycetaceae.
UUGACCUCAAAUCAGGUAGGAUUACCCGCUGAACUUAAGCAUAUCAAUAAGCGGAGGAAAAGAAACCAACAGGGAUUGCCUUAGUAACGGCGAGUGAAGCGGCAAGAGCUCAAAUUUGAAAUCUAGCACCUUCGGUGUUCGAGUUGUAAUUUGAAGAAGGUAUCUUUGGAGUUGGCCCUUGUCUAUGUUCCUUGGAACAGGACGUCACAGAGGGUGAGAAUCCCGUGCGAUGAGGAGUCCAAUUCUAUGUAAAGUUCCUUCGAAGAGUCGAGUUGUUUGGGAAUGCAGCUCUAAGUGGGUGGUAAAUUCCAUCUAAAGCUAAAUAUUGGCGAGAGACCGAUAGCGAACAAGUACAGUGAUGGAAAGAUGAAAAGAACUUUGAAAAGAGAGUGAAAAAGUACGUGAAAUUGUUGAAAGGGAAGGGCUUUUGAUCAGACUUGGUGUUUAGUACUCUCUGCUCCUUGUGGGUGGGGCUCUUGCUUUAUACUGGGCCAGCAUCGGUUUUGAUGGCAGGAUAAUGACUUUGGAACGUGGCUUCAUUCGUGAAGUGUUAUAGCCUUUGUUGAUACUGCCUAUCGAGACCGAGGACUGCGUCUUUGACUAGGAUGCGGCGUAA